This 497-nucleotide ribosomal RNA is filed under the name uncultured bacterium. Its description in RNAcentral is "partial 16S ribosomal RNA". It matches the Rfam family "Bacterial small subunit ribosomal RNA", at positions 28 to 507 of the family's 1533-position model. The record is from RNAcentral.
GAUGAACGCUGGCGGCGUGCCUAAUACAUGCAAGUCGAGCGAACAGACGAGGAGCUUGCUCCUAUGACGUUAGCGGCGGACGGGUGAGUAACACGUGGAUAACCUACCUAUAAGACUGGGAUAACUUCGGGAAACCGGAGCUAAUACCGGAUAACAUGUUGAACCGCAUGGUUCAACAGUGAAAUACGGUCUUUCUGUCACUUAUAGAUGGAUAAGGGCCGCAUUAGCUAGUUGGUAAGGUCACGGCUUACCAAAGCAACGAUGCGUAGCCGACCUGAGAGGGUGGUCGGCCACCUGGUAUGUGAGAAUGGUCCCAGACACUGACGGUAGGAAGCAGCAGAGAAUCCUCCGCGAUGGGCGAGAGGCUGACGGUGCAACGCGGGGGGAAGGAAGAAGGAGUACGGAUCGGAGAGCGCUGAUAGCAGGAGAGAACAAAUGUGUAAGUAACCGUGCUCGUCUUGACGGUACCUAGUCAGAAAGCCACGGCUAACUACGUG